RNAcentral lists this ribosomal RNA (466 nucleotides) under uncultured bacterium. Its description in RNAcentral is "bacterial SSU rRNA". It matches the Rfam family "Bacterial small subunit ribosomal RNA", at positions 355 to 825 of the family's 1533-position model. The record is from RNAcentral.
UAGGGAAUAUUGGGCAAUGGAGGGAACUCUGACCCAGCCAUGGCGCGUGCAGGAUGAAGGCGUUAUGCGUUGUAAACUGCUUUUAUAUAGGAAGAAAUAGUCCUUGCGAGGAAAGUUGACGGUACUAUAUGAAUAAGCACCGGCUAACUCCGUGCCAGCAGCCGCGGUAAUACGGAGGGUGCAAGCGUUGUCCGGAUUUAUUGGGUUUAAAGGGUGCGUAGGCGGUUUAUUAAGUCAGUGGUGAAAGACGGUCGCUCAACGAUUGCAGUGCCAUUGAUACUGGUAGACUUGAGUAUGAUUGAGGUAGCUGGAAUGGAUAGUGUAGCGGUGAAAUGCAUAGAUAUUAUCCAGAACACCAAUUGCGUAGGCAAGUUACUAAGUCAUAACUGACGCUGAGGCACGAAAGUGUGGGUAUCAAACAGGAUUAGAUACCCGAGUAGUCCCUGAGCGGGCUGGCAAGGCGCAU